GCAGCAGCCGCGGUAAUACGUAGGGGGCGAGCGUUGUUCGGAUUUACUGGGCGUAAAGAGCGCGUAGGCGGUUCGCUAAGUCGGAGGUGAAAGCCCUCGGCUCAACCGAGGAUCCGCGUCCGAUACUGGCGAACUUGAGUGCAGGAGAGGAGAGCGGAAUUCCGAGUGUAGCGGUGAAAUGCGUAGAUAUUCGGAGGAACACCGGUGGCGAAGGCGGCUCUCUGGACUGCUACUGACGCUGAGGCGCGAAAGCUAGGGGAGCAAACGGGAUUAGAUACCCCGGUAGUCCUAGCCGUAAACGAUGGGCACUAGGUGUGGGAGGUAUCGACCCCUUCCGUGCCGCAGCUAACGCAUUAAGUGCCCCGCCUGGGGAGUACGGCCGCAAGGUUGAAACUCAAAGGAAUUGACGGGGGCCCGCACAAGUG
RNAcentral lists this ribosomal RNA (425 nucleotides) under uncultured bacterium. Its description in RNAcentral is "bacterial SSU rRNA". It matches the Rfam family "Bacterial small subunit ribosomal RNA", at positions 508 to 931 of the family's 1533-position model. The record is from RNAcentral.